ACUCUCGGCAACGGAUAUCUCGGCUCUCGCAUCGAUGAAGAACGUAGCGAAAUGCGAUACUUGGUGUGAAUUGCAGAAUCCCGUGAACCAUCGAGUCUUUGAACGCAAGUUGCGCCCUAAGCCGUCAGGCCGAGGGCACGCCUGCCUGGGCGUCACGCAACGUCGCCC
Molecule: ribosomal RNA, 168 nt
Filed under: Helianthemum raskebdanae
Lineage: Eukaryota; Viridiplantae; Streptophyta; Magnoliopsida; Malvales; Cistaceae
Description: 5.8S ribosomal RNA
Rfam family: 5.8S ribosomal RNA
About the family: 5.8S ribosomal RNA (5.8S rRNA) is a component of the large subunit of the eukaryotic ribosome. It is transcribed by RNA polymerase I as part of the 45S precursor that also contains 18S and 28S rRNA.
Source: RNAcentral